GCCCUCGUGGUGUAGCGGUAACACACUCGAGGCAUAUUCGAGAGGCUCAGGUUCGAGUCCCGGCGAGGGCA
This 71-nucleotide transfer RNA is filed under the name Stegodyphus mimosarum. It matches the Rfam family "tRNA". From Rfam's summary of the family: Transfer RNA (tRNA) molecules are approximately 80 nucleotides in length. The record is from Rfam by way of RNAcentral. Lineage: Eukaryota; Metazoa; Arthropoda; Arachnida; Araneae; Eresidae.